CAAUGGGUCUUUAUUCCAGGAAGUAACUUCUUGCUUUCACUUACAUUUCUCCUCAGCAGUGGCAUACAGGAACAGGCUUUACAUGAGGACAGACGUGAUCUCGUCUUUAUUGCGUUUAAUACAUAUAAAAUACAAACACUGGCAAAAGAAAACGUGAAUCAGGUAAGAGUGAGGGGCUGGAGAAGCACUGUGUUCAGAAGGAGCUUGGCUAACAGUGCCCUGGAGAGAGUAAGUCUGUGAUCUGAACGAGAUGGAAAAGAAGCAAAGGAUGGCAGCUAACUUCACCGUGUCAGUGGAAGAGGUCUCCUGCCCAGUGUGCCACGACAUAUUCACUCACCCCGUUAUCCUGCCGUGUAGCCACAGCUUGUGUAAGGGCUGCUUCGAGCAGUGCUGGGCGGCCAGCUUUCGGAAAUGCCCGCUGUGUAAGAGGCCGUGUGCCCCCGGGACCGAUCUCCCCGUUAACCUGGCUCUGAAGAACCUCUGUGAGCGGUUCCACCUGGAGCAGGAGGCCGGGCCUGGCCCAGAGGUGCACUGCGCUCUGCACGGAGAGAAGAUUAAGCUCUUCUGCCUGGAGGAUAAUCAGCCGAUAUGCGUCGACUGUGUGCCUGGCCUGCACGACCGUCAUAAAUGCUGCCACUUAGCGGUAGCAGCGCACGACCAUAAGAUGAAGAUGCAGGCUGCAUUGAAGCCCUUACAGGACAAGCUGGAAAAUUUCAAUAAAAUCAGUAAAACUACAUAUCAAAAACAGCAGCACAUCAAGAGCCAGGUUCAGCGCACAGAGAAGCGGAUAAGAGAGGAGUUUCAGGAGCUGCACCAGUUUCUACACCAGGAAGAAGCAGCCAGGAUCGCAGCCCUAAGAGCAGAGGAGGCAGAGAGGAGUCAGACUCUGAGCAGGAAGAUGGAGGAAGUGGUCAGAAAGAUGGAGGCCCUUUCAACCACAAUCAAAGCCGUAGAGCAGGAGAUGGGGAAAGAUGAUGCCUCAUUCCUACAGUUUGUCACACUGAUAUAAAGCCCUCAGCUGCUCUAAUUCUUGGAUGUCACGGCAGAACUCAGUGCACAGUUCAGGACCCUGAUGUCUCAGGAGUACAGAUCGACGUGGCCAAACACCUGGGGAACCUGAAGUUGCACAUCUUGAAGACGAUGAUGGGGAUGGCGAAGUACUCUCCUGUGAUUCUGGACCCCAACACAGCCGAUCCCUCGCUCAUAUUGUCUCAGGAUCUGACCAGCGUGGAAAAGGGCAAAGAAAUGUACUGCCAAUAUGUUUAUCUUUUUGGGUCAGAAGGAUUCAGCUCAGGGAAACACCAGUGGGAUGUGGAAAUUAGGCGAUGCACUGUGAUAGAUAUAGGUAUUGCCAGUGCCCAUCUCAAAGAGAGGGAGUCUCAAAGAGAGGGAUGUACAAAUGAUUAUGAACAAAGCCACAUCUGUUAUUUACAAUACCAGGGUAUUUGUGAUUGUUUAGACGAAAAAUCUGUACGCAAGGGAAUGGCCAAGUUUAGAGUGCUUGUGGACUGUGAUCAAAAAACUCUGUCAUUAUUUGAUGUCUACGGCAACAAAACUCACAGAACUAAAAGUAUCACUCUCACAGGGAUACUCUUUCCAGUAUUUCGCUUUGUAUGCAUUGAUGCGGAACUUGACCUUCUGAAGAUCGUGCCUGCCACGGUCAAGGUCAUGGUGGAGAAGAGAGUUCAGUGACUGAAUAUUCAUGCUUCUCUAAAGCUGGUGGUUUACAGAUGAGAUAUCUGAAAAAGGGUGUGUCAACAUUAAUUUUUCCUUGAAAUAAAGACUUUAGUCACUAUCUUCUGAGUGGACAGGAACAACUCUUAAACACAUCUCCCCAGCCAGGUAAUCUCUGGGGAUUAAAACCGAUGGGUUUCUUGACUACAUAUAGAUGAUGAUUUCUGCUUGGAGGAAACACUUAUUUCCUCUAAGAUGUUCUCUGUGAUUAUCUUCCUGCCAUAAUUUAUGAGAAAAAAGUGUGUCAAACAUUUUACGAAUUUAUAUUAUCUGUGAUCCUAUUUAUUUUUUAAAUACAGGCAUCUUAUUUUGUUUAUAUAAAGGGAAAAAAAGUUAUUUGGGGUUGUGAAGAUGUGUCCAGUGUAUUCGUAUGUAUUAUAGGAGGGUUCAUUAGGUUAGGGGAGUAGUUGUUAAAAUCACUACAAUGUAUUUUAAUGUUUAAGCUCCACAAGUUCUCUGUCAUAUAGUGGUAGGACUAUAAUGUUUAACCGUUGUUAUGAUCUAUUCAUCCUUGUUGUGUUUUGAGCAAAAGUAUAUUUUAUUUGAAUUAUAUCCUCAAUAAAGGGCUCAGUUUUGUAUUUUACUAUA
RNA transcript from Anguilla rostrata (American eel), 2322 nucleotides. It is a transcript of the gene named E3 ubiquitin-protein ligase TRIM35-like, with no coding region annotated. The transcript is spliced from 5 exons. Lineage: Eukaryota; Metazoa; Chordata; Actinopteri; Anguilliformes; Anguillidae. The record is from RefSeq and is a predicted model, not a curated record.